GGCCCGUUAGCUCAGUCGGUUAGAGCGUCGUGCUAAUAACGCGAAGGUCGUGAGUUCGACCCUCACACGGGCCA
Molecule: non-coding RNA, 74 nt
Organism: Panonychus citri (citrus red mite)
Lineage: Eukaryota; Metazoa; Arthropoda; Arachnida; Trombidiformes; Tetranychidae
Source: the annotation of a RefSeq genome assembly